UGGGGAAUAUUGCACAAUGGGCGAAAGCCUGAUGCAGCGACGCCGCGUGAGGGAUGACGGCCUUCGGGUUGUAAACCUCUUUCAGCAGGGAAGAAGCGAAAGUGACGGUACCUGCAGAAGAAGCGCCGGCUAACUACGUGCCAGCAGCCGCGGUAAUACGUAGGGCGCAAGCGUUGUCCGGAAUUAUUGGGCGUAAAGAGCUCGUAGGCGGUUAGUCGCGUCUGCUGUGAAAACUCGAGGCUCAACCUCGGGCUUGCAGUGGGUACGGGCUGACUAGAGUGCGGUAGGGGUGACUGGAAUUCCUGGUGUAGCGGUGGAAUGCGCAGAUAUCAGGAGGAACACCGAUGGCGAAGGCAGGUCACUGGGCCGCAACUGACGCUGAGGAGCGAAAGCAUGGGGAGCGAACAGGAUUAGAUACCCUGGUAGUCCAUGCCGUAAACGUUGGGCACUAGGUGUGGGGUCCAUUCCACGGAUUCCGUGCCGCAGCAAACGCAUUAAGUGCCCCGCCUGGGGAGUACGGCCGCAAGGCUAAAACUCAAAUGAAUUGAC
RNAcentral lists this ribosomal RNA (549 nucleotides) under uncultured bacterium. RNAcentral's name for it is "partial 16S ribosomal RNA". It matches the Rfam family "Bacterial small subunit ribosomal RNA", at positions 355 to 914 of the family's 1533-position model. The record is from RNAcentral.